This 465-nucleotide small RNA is filed under the name Pan troglodytes (chimpanzee). RNAcentral's name for it is "processed transcript". The record is from RNAcentral. Lineage: Eukaryota; Metazoa; Chordata; Mammalia; Primates; Hominidae.
GGACUCGAAUCCCGUUGCCGACUCGCGCUCUCGGCUUCUGCUCCGGGGCUUCUUCCCUGCCCGCCCGGGGCCCUGACCGUGGCUUCUUCCCCGGCCUGAUCUGCGCAGCCCGGCGGGCGCCCAGAAGGAGCAGGCGGCGCGGGGGCGCGCUGGGCGGGGGAGGCGUGGCCGGAGCUGCGGCGGCAAGCGGGCUGGGACUGCUCGGCCGCCUCCUGCCCGGCGAGCAGCUCAGACCAUGUCGCCUGAAGAAUGGACGUAUCUAGUGGUUCUUCUUAUCUCCAUCCCCAUCGGCUUCCUCUUUAAGAAAGCCGGUCCUGGGCUGAAGAGAUGGGGAGCAGCCGCUGUGGGCCUGGGGCUCACCCUGUUCACCUGUGGCCCCCACACUUUGCAUUCUCUGGUCACCAUCCUCGGGACCUGGGCCCUCAUUCAGGCCCAGCCCUGCGCGCCUCCUGCUUUUGCCCAGCU